This 200-nucleotide long non-coding RNA is filed under the name Elaeis guineensis (African oil palm). Its description in RNAcentral is "long non-coding RNA (EGUI_LNC002843)". Lineage: Eukaryota; Viridiplantae; Streptophyta; Magnoliopsida; Arecales; Arecaceae. The record is from RNAcentral.
CAAAAGAGACACCACAACCGGCUUCAUAACUUCAACUAGAAUGCAGUUAAAAACACGGAUUGCUGCCUUGCUGGUGAGAAAUCUACCUCCAUGUUUCAAUGAUAUGCCACCUCCACUCCUGGUCAAUAUAUUUAUAUAAUAAACAAUAUAAAAAAGAUAUAUAUAUAUAUAUUUCCCUGAAUAUUUGCCGUCCACACAUG